AGUGAGGCUUGCUUUGGGCUGUCUACUUGCUUUGGCCUUGAUUCCCUUCACUGUUGUUAGCCUUGGUUAUUUAUCCUUAUCCCACAAGGAUGAAAUUUAAGGGGGCAUUGGGAGACCUGAAGAUUAGCGGGAUUUACCCUUUGUCCAUGUGGUGCAGAUGAGUAUUGGUUUAGUGUGUCCCAGAUCCUAUACGGAACUCAGAUUAACUAUCAAGUGGUCCUGAGCACCAUUUUCAGUGGCUUUACAUGUGUGGCCACACUCAGGCCUUUCCACAGAGACAGAUUGCUGGCACAAUCCAGUCUAGAGCCCUAAAGGCCUCCCCUGCUGGCUUUAGAUUAGAAGCUGGCUGUUUCAGGGUGACUCAGUGGCUUAAAGUAAAAAACGAGUUCUUUCCUCCAUCUGGGACCCUGCACUCAGUCCAAUGGUUCGCUGCGAGCAUCUGCCUCUGUAUUGGUCAGGCUCUCGGAGGAUUCGAACUCAGACUCUCAUGCUCAUUUGGCAAACACGGAAGAGUUAUUUCACAGGAUGCUUCUGGAGGCAGAAAGUGAUCCCCUGGAAAAUGAUAAUCUAAAGGUGAGCCAGGUAUAUUAGAGGAUGGUGAGGAUGGGAUGGAUCUAAAUACACUGUGCAAUGGAAUCCGAUCAUAGUGGGAAAGUAGUAAUUUCUUCGCUUUGCCAGUGAAGCUUAUGCUCAAGAGUGAGUCAGGUAUCAUCCCGCUGUAUGCCUCAGACUACAAGGAAAGGGAGUCAACGCUCACAUUCCCAAUUAACCAACCCUUUAUAAGCCUUUCCUUGGGGGUGAAGCCAUGUAGGAGCAAAGGGAUGUUGCAAGGUCUGCAGUGGUCACAGAGAACCUCACUUUGGAGACCAAUGCUAUUCUCCAUUUUUUAAAAAUUAUUUAUUUUUUUGGAACCUCUACCAAAACUGAAACCAAAGCCCUUCCACUUCUAACACUAUCAGGUUUACUGAAAUUAAAUUGGACACAGAAUUUU
This 991-nucleotide long non-coding RNA is filed under the name Mus pahari (shrew mouse). Its description in RNAcentral is "RIKEN cDNA 4930544M13 gene (MGP_PahariEiJ_G0004377.1)". The record is from RNAcentral. Lineage: Eukaryota; Metazoa; Chordata; Mammalia; Rodentia; Muridae.